GGGUUGUGAGGUUAAGCGAACAAGCGUACACGGUGGAUGCCCUGGCAGUCAGAGGCGAUGAAGGACGUGCUAAUCUGCGAAAAGCGCCGGUAAGGUGAUAUGAACCGUUAUAACCGGCGAUGUCCGAAUGGGGAAACCCGGUGCACUUCGGUGCAUCAUCGUUAGCUGAAUACAUAGGCUAACGAAGCGAACCGGGGGAACUGAAACAUCUAAGUACCCCGAGGAAAAGAAAUCAACCGAGAUUCCCCCAGUAGCGGCGAGCGAACGGGGAACAGCCCAGAGCCUGAAUCAGCUUGUGUGUCAGUGGAACGGUCUGGAAAGGCCGGCGAUACAGGGUGACAGCCCCGUACACGAAGGCACACAGGCUGUGAGCUCGAUGAGUAGGGCGGGACACGUGAUAUCCUGUCUGAAGAUGGGGGGACCAUCCUCCAAGGCUAAAUACUCCUGACUGACCGAUAGUGAACCAGUACCGUGAGGGAAAGGCGAAAAGAACCCCGGCGAGGGGAGUGAAACAGAACCUGAAACCGUGUACGUACAAGCAGUGGGAGCCUUCGUAAGAGGGUGACUGCGUACCUUUUGUAUAAUGGGUCAGCGACUUAUAUUCUGUAGCAAGGUUAACCGUAUAGGGGAGCCGAAGGGAAACCGAGUCUUAACCGGGCGUUAAGUUGCAGGGUAUAGACCCGAAACCCGGUGAUCUAGCCAUGGGCAGGUUGAAGGUUGGGUAACACUAACUGGAGGACCGAACCGACUAAUGUUGAAAAAUUAGCGGAUGACCUGUGGCUGGGGGUGAAAGGCCAAUCAAACCGGGAGAUAGCUGGUUCUCCCCGAAAGCUAUUUAGGUAGCGCCUCGUGAACUCAUCUCCGGGGGUAGAGCACUGUUUCGGCUAGGGGGCCAUCCCGGCUUACCAACCCGAUGCAAACUGCGAAUACCGGAGAAUGUUAUCACGGGAGACACACGGCGGGUGCUAACGUCCGUCGUGAAGAGGGAAACAACCCAGACCGCCAGCUAAGGUCCCAAAGUCAUGGUUAAGUGGGAAACGAUGUGGGAAGGCCCAGACAGCCAGGAUGUUGGCUUAGAAGCAGCCAUCAUUUAAAGAAAGCGUAAUAGCUCACUGGUCGAGUCGGCCUGCGCGGAAGAUGUAACGGGGCUAAACCAUGCACCGAAGCUGCGGCAGCGACACGUAUGUGUUGUUGGGUAGGGGAGCGUUCUGUAAGCCUGUGAAGGUGUGCUGUGAGGCAUGCUGGAGGUAUCAGAAGUGCGAAUGCUGACAUAAGUAACGAUAAAGCGGGUGAAAAGCCCGCUCGCCGGAAGACCAAGGGUUCCUGUCCAACGUUAAUCGGGGCAGGGUGAGUCGACCCCUAAGGCGAGGCCGAAAGGCGUAGUCGAUGGGAAACAGGUUAAUAUUCCUGUACUUGGUGUUACUGCGAAGGGGGGACGGAGAAGGCUAUGUCGGCCGGGCGACGGUUGUCCCGGUUUAAGCGUGUAGGCUGACUUUCCAGGCAAAUCCGGAAAGUUAAGGCUGAGGCGUGAUGACGAGGCACCACGGUGCUGAAGUGACAAAUGCCCUGCUUCCAGGAAAAGCCUCUAAGCAUCAGGUAACAUCAAAUCGUACCCCAAACCGACACAGGUGGUCAGGUAGAGAAUACCAAGGCGCUUGAGAGAACUCGGGUGAAGGAACUAGGCAAAAUGGUGCCGUAACUUCGGGAGAAGGCACGCUGACAUGUAGGUGAAGCCCCUGCGGGUGGAGCUGAAGUCAGUCGAAGAUACCAGCUGGCUGCAACUGUUUAUUAAAAACACAGCACUGUGCAAACACGAAAGUGGACGUAUACGGUGUGACGCCUGCCCGGUGCCGGAAGGUUAAUUGAUGGGGUUAUCGCAAGAGAAGCUCCUGAUCGAAGCCCCGGUAAACGGCGGCCGUAACUAUAACGGUCCUAAGGUAGCGAAAUUCCUUGUCGGGUAAGUUCCGACCUGCACGAAUGGCGUAAUGAUGGCCAGGCUGUCUCCACCCGAGACUCAGUGAAAUUGAACUCGCUGUGAAGAUGCAGUGUACCCGCGGCAAGACGGAAAGACCCCGUGAACCUUUACUACAGCUUGACACUGAACAUUGAGCCUUGAUGUGUAGGAUAGGUGGGAGGCUUUGAAGCGUGGACGCCAGUCUGCGUGGAGCCGACCUUGAAAUACCACCCUUUAAUGUUUGAUGUUCUAACCUGGCGCCGUGAUCCGGCGUGGGGACAGUGUCUGGUGGGUAGUUUGACUGGGGCGGUCUCCUCCCAAAGUGUAACGGAGGAGCACGAAGGUCAGCUAAUCCUGGUCGGACAUCAGGAGGUUAGUGCAAUGGCAUAAGCUGGCUUGACUGCGAGAGUGACGGCUCGAGCAGGUGCGAAAGCAGGUCAUAGUGAUCCGGUGGUUCUGUAUGGAAGGGCCAUCGCUCAACGGAUAAAAGGUACUCCGGGGAUAACAGGCUGAUACCGCCCAAGAGUUCAUAUCGACGGCGGUGUUUGGCACCUCGAUGUCGGCUCAUCACAUCCUGGGGCUGAAGUAGGUCCCAAGGGUAUGGCUGUUCGCCAUUUAAAGUGGUACGCGAGCUGGGUUUAGAACGUCGUGAGACAGUUCGGUCCCUAUCUGCCGUGGGCGCUGGAGAAUUGAGGGGGGCUGCUCCCAGUACGAGAGGACCGGAGUGGACGCAUCACUGGUGUUCGGGUUGUCAUGCCAAUGGCACUGCCCGGUAGCUAAAUGCGGAAGAGAUAAGUGCUGAAAGCAUCUAAGCACGAAACUUGCCCCGAGAUGAGUUCUCCCUGAGACUGUAAGUCUCCUGAAGGAACGUUGAAGACGACGACGUUGAUAGGCCGGGUGUGUAAGCGCAGCGAUGCGUUGAGCUAACCGGUACUAAUGAACCGUGAGGCUUAACCUUACAACGCCAAAGAAGU
RNAcentral lists this ribosomal RNA (2928 nucleotides) under Cronobacter sakazakii. RNAcentral describes it as "bacterial LSU rRNA". It matches the Rfam family "Bacterial large subunit ribosomal RNA". Lineage: Bacteria; Pseudomonadati; Pseudomonadota; Gammaproteobacteria; Enterobacterales; Enterobacteriaceae. The record is from RNAcentral.